Trachymyrmex septentrionalis is the source of this 487-nucleotide long non-coding RNA. RefSeq lists it as uncharacterized. The record is from RefSeq and is a predicted model, not a curated record. NCBI's taxonomy places the organism in Eukaryota, Metazoa, Arthropoda, Insecta, Hymenoptera, Formicidae. The transcript is spliced from 4 exons.
GAAAUACAGCCCUGAUUUCGAAUUAAUUAUUAUAUAAUCUUUCUGCAAAAAGUAUCUUACAAAGAUCUCUAUCAGUAUUAGAAAACGACAAGAAAUGGGUUCAAAAGGAUCAUUAGAAUUUGCCAACGAGAUUGUGGUGAACAAUGGAAUGAACUGACUCCGAGACUAGUGGCAUCGUGAUCAAAUGGAUUCUCUUAUCAGGCGGAUACUGGCUUCCCUCGACAAGUAAGAAGAUUAUCUUUGGAGCUUUCCGGAGGAAAGCUCUCGUUAGCUUCCUCCUGCACGGACCGUGCACCAGCAGCAACGGCAGCCGCAGCAGCAGCAGCAGCAGCCGCAGCAGCAGCAGCAGCAGCAGCAGCAGCAGUAGCGUCGGCAGUACCAACAGCAAUUCAGAGCACAGUGAAUUGUGCUGAGCUCAUGCUGGCAAGACGACGUACGAGUGAUUUGCAUGCGAGCUCACAACCCGUGGGAGGAACGGGCAUAAUUU